This 794-nucleotide ribosomal RNA is filed under the name uncultured bacterium. Its description in RNAcentral is "bacterial SSU rRNA". It matches the Rfam family "Bacterial small subunit ribosomal RNA", at positions 599 to 1396 of the family's 1533-position model. The record is from RNAcentral.
AUCUCCUUGCUUAACAAGGAAAUUGCCAUUGAAACUGUCAGACUUGAGAAUGGACGAGGCAGGCGGAAUUCGUAGUGUAGCGGUGAAAUGCAUAGAUAUUACGAAGAACUCCAAUAGUGUAGACUGCUUGCCAGACCAUAUCUGACACUAAGGCACGAAAGUGUGGGUAUCAAACAGGAUUAGAUACCCUGGUAGUCCACACAGUAAACGAUGAAUACUAACUGUUUGCGAUAUACAGCAAGUGGUCAAGCGAAAGCGUUAAGUAUUCCACCUGGGAAGUACGCCGGCAACGGUGAAACUCAAAGGAAUUGACGGGGGCCCGCACAAGCGGAGGAACAUGUGGUUUAAUUCGAUAAUACGCGAGGAACCUUACCCGGGCUCGAACGAUAUUUGAAUACAUCCGAAAAGAUGUAGCUAGCAAUAGCAAAUACCGAGGUGCUGCAUGGUUGUCGUCAGCUCGUGCCGUGAGGUGUCGACUUAAGUGUCAUAACGAGCGCAACCCUUACCAAUAGUUGCCAUCAGGUAAUGCUGGGGACUCUGUUGGGACUGCCACCGUAAGGUGUGAGGAAGGAGAGGAUGACGUCAAAUCAGCACGGCCCUUAUGUCCGGGGCGACACACGUGUUACAAUGGGAGAAACAAAGGGUCGCUACCUGGCAACAGGAUGCUAAUCUCAAAAAUCUCUCUCAGUUCGGAUUGGAGUCUGCAACUCGACUCCAUGAAGCUGGAUUCGCUAGUAAUCGCACAUCAGCCAUGGUGCGGUGAAUACGUUCCCGGGCAUUGUACACACCGCCCG